GGAUUAGAUACCCUGGUAGUCCACGCCGUAAACGAUGAGUACUUGAUGGUGGAGGAUUCGACCCUUUCACUAUCGGAGCUAACGCGUUAAGUACUCCGCCUGGGGACUACGGCCGCAAGGCUGAAACUCAAAGGAAUUGACGGGGACCCGCACAAGCGGUGGAACAUGUGGUUUAAUUCGAUGCAACGCGAAGAACCUUACCUGGACUUGACAUGUUAGUGAAAUCUCUGUGAAAGCAGAGCCUUCUGCGAGCUUGCUCAAAGACACUAUCACAGGUGAUGCAUGGCUGUCGUCAGCUCGUGCCG
This 305-nucleotide ribosomal RNA is filed under the name uncultured bacterium. Its description in RNAcentral is "bacterial SSU rRNA". It matches the Rfam family "Bacterial small subunit ribosomal RNA", at positions 775 to 1067 of the family's 1533-position model. The record is from RNAcentral.